Molecule: ribosomal RNA, 407 nt
Filed under: uncultured bacterium
Lineage: Bacteria
Description: bacterial SSU rRNA
Rfam family: Bacterial small subunit ribosomal RNA
Source: RNAcentral
GCAGGGAAUCUUGCGCAAUGGGCGAAAGCCUGACGCAGCGACGCCGCGUGGGGGAAGAAGGCCUUCGGGUUGUAAACCCCUUUUGUUGGGGAAGAAGAUCUGACGGUACCCGACGAAUAAGCCUCGGCCAACUACGUGCCAGCAGCCGCGGUAAUACGUAGGAGGCGAGCGUUGUCCGGAUUUACUGGGUGUAAAGGGCGCGUAGGCGGCUGGGAAAGUCUUCUGUGAAAUCUUCCAGCUCAACUGGAAGGGGUCAGGAGAUACUUCUCAGCUUGAGGGGAGCAGAGGAGGGUGGAAUUUCCGGUGUAGCGGUGAAAUGCAUAGAUAUCGGAAGGAACACCAGUGGCGAAGGCGGCCCUCUGGGCUCUACCUGACGCUCAGGCGCGAAAGCGUGGGGAGCAAACCGG